AACCCGAGACUCAGCGAAGUUGAAAUGUUUGUGAAGAUGCAAUCUCCCCGCUGCUAGACGGAAAGACCCCGUGAACCUUUACUGUAGCUUUGCAUUGGACUUUGAACAGGCUUGUGUAGGAUAGGUGGGAGGCUUUGAAGCUGAGACGCCAGUUUCAGUGGAGCCGUCCUUGAAAUACCACCCUGGUGUGUUUGAGGUUCUAACCUGGGUCCAUCAUCUGGAUCGGGGACCGUGCAUGGUAGGCAGUUUGACUGGGGCGGUCUCCUCCCAAAGUGUAACGGAGGAGUUCGAAGGUUACC
Molecule: ribosomal RNA, 299 nt
Filed under: Laribacter hongkongensis
Lineage: Bacteria; Pseudomonadati; Pseudomonadota; Betaproteobacteria; Neisseriales; Aquaspirillaceae
Description: partial 23S ribosomal RNA
Rfam family: Bacterial large subunit ribosomal RNA
Source: RNAcentral